AUUGAACGCUGGCGGCAGGCCUAACACAUGCAAGUCGAGCGGAUGAAGGGAGCUUGCUCCUGGAUUCAGCGGCGGACGGGUGAGUAAUGCCUAGGAAUCUGCCUGGUAGUGGGGGAUAACGUCCGGAAACGGGCGCUAACACCGCAUACGUCCUGAGGGAGAAAGUGGGGGAUCUUCGGACCUCACGCUAUCAGAUGAGCCUAGGUCGGAUUAGCUAGUUGGUGGGGUAAGGGCCUACCAAGGCGACGAUCCGUAACUGGUCUGAGAGGAUGAUCAGUCACACUGGAACUGAGACACGGUCCAGACUCCUACGGGAGGCAGCAGUGGGGAAUAUUGGACAAUGGGCGAAAGCCUGAUCCAGCCAUGCCGCGUGUGUGAAGAAGGUCUUCGGAUUGUAAAGCACUUUAAGUUGGGAGGAAGGGCAGUAAGUUAAUACCUUGCUGUUUUGACGUUACCAACAGAAUAAGCACCGGCUAACUUCGUG
RNAcentral lists this ribosomal RNA (484 nucleotides) under uncultured bacterium. RNAcentral describes it as "partial 16S ribosomal RNA". It matches the Rfam family "Bacterial small subunit ribosomal RNA", at positions 30 to 507 of the family's 1533-position model. The record is from RNAcentral.